Long non-coding RNA from Ailuropoda melanoleuca (giant panda), 1344 nucleotides. RefSeq lists it as uncharacterized. The transcript has 4 exons. The record is from RefSeq and is a predicted model, not a curated record. NCBI's taxonomy places the organism in Eukaryota, Metazoa, Chordata, Mammalia, Carnivora, Ursidae.
CACGCCCUGAGCCGAAGGCAGACGCUUAACCGCUGUGCCACCCAGGCGCCCCCAGGUUGGAUCUUUAAAAACAGCUUAACAUGGAUAGAAAGGUGUGUGAAAAGCACUCCCCUAAUGUUAAUGGUAACUAUCUUAGGAUGCUGGGGGAUGGGGGGGGGAGGUUCACAUAACUCUUGCUUUCUUUUUUGUUCUUUUAUAUACUGUUUACGUUUUCUACAAUACACAAUAAUGACUAUAUAAUUGGAAGAAAAAAUUAGGGAUUUUUCCUGAGGACAAUGUACAGCAACAUAGAAUGUUAACCAAAGAAGGUGGCCUGCAAACUUGUAGGCAGAAAAUAAGUACUACAAUUAUAUCAGUCUGUCCUUACCUUGGCCUCAUAAAGGAGGUGCUGCUAUGUACCCAUUCUACAGAUGAAGACCCUGGGUCUCAGAGUUAGUAAGUACUGAACCAUUGUAUUUAGUCUCCGCUAAAGAGAACAUUCCCUUAUCCUCCCCAUCCCUUUGGUCCUUCCUUGAGUCUAAAUUACAAGGCAUACAAGAAGCACACGUUUCUGUUUUCCCUUAGACUAGUCAACGUUCAAGUCUUUAAACUCCAAGCCCAGGUUAUGGAGGAACAGAAGUAAGCUCUCUUUUUUCCUUUAUUUCUCCACCCAUGCACUCCUUCUGAGUGGAAAAUCUGAGAGUUCCAUGGUGUUAACGACUCCACCCUGAGCAUGAAGAGAGAAGUGCACACAUGAUCCUAAUUCUACUCUUGUGAGAAAACCUAAAGGAAGCCUUGUUCUCUCAAGCUCACAGAAGAAUGUGGAUAUUUUUCACAGGCGGGUUCAAAGCUAUGAUUCAGGUUAUCCUGGUUCAGCCCCAUUGAAAACUCUUGAGAAUUCUCGAACACAAGCUACAGGAAAUGGGACUGGAGCACACCUCAGCCAGGACCACCUGUUGUCUGAAAUCUCAGCCUGUGCCCAGCGCCUGGCCACAUGCGUUAUAGGCAUCAUCUCGGGACAAACCUGAGCGGUGAGCAUUCUCAUCUCCAUUUGCCAGGUCCACCUACUUCGCUGUGAGGUGGGUAAACUGAGGCUCAGAAAGAGAAGAUAUAUUUCCCAGGGCCACACAGUCGUGGAGCAGUGGAGCCAAGGCCCCAGCUCUCCAGGAGCAGCCUUCUGAUGAUGGGUGGACGUUGAAGAGGAAGGCCCCAGCUUCUUCACCCCUCACGGAGCACAACUCAAAAGUACGUUCUGUCUCCCAGAGCUCCCUGUAGGACUGGGCUCCCACUUGACCUUUGGGGAAGCUGUUCCAUAAUGCAAUGUAUCAGUUAUCCAUUGCUGCAUAAUAAAUGAUCCCCAAACUC